Molecule: non-coding RNA, 57 nt
Submitted as: unclassified sequences
Source: Rfam
CACGUUCAUCACUAUUUUUUGAGUGACGGAAGUAGACGAAAGUCGAAGGAACGCAUG